UACGGAGGGAGCUAGCGUUGUUCGGAAUUACUGGGCGUAAAGCGCACGUAGGCGGCUUUGCAAGUUAGAGGUGAAAGCCCGGGGCUCAACCCCGGAAUUGCCUUUAAGACUGCAUCGCUAGAAUCCGGGAGAGGUGAGUGGAAUUCCGAGUGUAGAGGUGAAAUUCGUAGAUAUUCGGAAGAACACCAGUGGCGAAGGCGGCUCACUGGACCGGCAUUGACGCUGAGGUGCGAAAGCGUGGGGAGCAAACGGG
This 253-nucleotide ribosomal RNA is filed under the name uncultured bacterium. Its description in RNAcentral is "partial 16S ribosomal RNA". It matches the Rfam family "Bacterial small subunit ribosomal RNA", at positions 524 to 776 of the family's 1533-position model. The record is from RNAcentral.